RNAcentral lists this non-coding RNA (84 nucleotides) under Ochromonas sp. CCMP1393. The record is from RNAcentral. Lineage: Eukaryota; Chrysophyceae; Chromulinales; Chromulinaceae.
CUGAAAUAGCACUGAAGCGUCAAUCAAAUCCCAAUUGGGAGGCGUAUUUCUUUCUCACCGACAACCAGCCAUUUGAGGAUGAAC